This 236-nucleotide unclassified non-coding RNA is filed under the name plant metagenome. RNAcentral describes it as "partial contains small subunit ribosomal RNA, internal transcribed spacer 1, and 5.8S ribosomal RNA". The record is from RNAcentral.
UUUCCGUAGGUGAACCUGCGGAAGGAUCAUUACUGAGUGAGGGCCCAUCGGGGUCCAACCUCCCACCCGCGUUUAACGAACCUUGUUGCUUCUGCGGGCCCGACUCACGGCCACCCGGGGGCAUUUGCCCCCGGGCCCGCGCCCGCCGAAGCCACCUGUGAACGCUGUCUGAAGUAUGCAGUCUGAGACAAUUAUUAAAUUGAUUAAAACUUUCAACAACGGAUCUCUUGGUUCCG